CUUUUCCCCAAAAAAAAGUUAGGAUUCUAAAAUUUGGGGAAAAGGCUGGUCGAUUUCGAGGUAUAGGGUUCGAUUCAGAUUCAAUCGAUGAAGAUUUGAUAGGCAAAGUCACGAUUUGAAUGGGAAUCAUCAAUUUCAUGUAGGAAUUCAUCCAUUUUCAAGGGAGGUGUUGGAUGCAAAGGUUUUGUAUGGUGUGAUGAUGUUGACAACACAAAAGGGAGGGAAGAUAUCAUCUUUAGAGACUUGCAAUGGAUGGAAAACAAUGGUAGCAAGGAUGUGGUGUUUCAAUUUAUGCAGUUACAAGUUGGAGAUGUUUUGAAUAUGCUGAAAGGAAUAAAAGAGAUGUUGUUGAUCAUUUGUAUCUUGAUUGCUGUCAAUGUGGUUUUCAAUUUAGUUUAAAAAAAUGAGGUGCUUAGAUGGUGCUUCAAUUUGGGUAAA
Prunus mume (Japanese apricot) is the source of this 438-nucleotide non-coding RNA. Lineage: Eukaryota; Viridiplantae; Streptophyta; Magnoliopsida; Rosales; Rosaceae. The record is from RefSeq and is a predicted model, not a curated record.